Molecule: ribosomal RNA, 695 nt
Filed under: uncultured bacterium
Lineage: Bacteria
Description: bacterial SSU rRNA
Rfam family: Bacterial small subunit ribosomal RNA
Source: RNAcentral
GAAAGCCCGCAAGCCUGAUGCAGCCAUGCCGCGUGUGUGAAGAAGGCCCUAGGGUUGUAAAGCACUUUCAGUAAGGAGGAAAGGGUGUAGUUUAAUAGACUGCAUCUGUGACGUUACUUACAGAAGAAGCACCGGCUAACUUCGUGCCAGCAGCCGCGGUAAUACGAGGGGUGCAAGCGUUAAUCGGAAUUACUGGGCGUAAAGCGUACGCAGGCGGUUUGUUAAGCGAGAUGUGAAAGCCCCGGGCUCAACCUGGGAACUGCAUUUCGAACUGGCAGACUAGAGUAUGAUAGAGGGUGGUAGAAUUUCAGGUGUAGCGGUGAAAUGCGUAGAGAUCUGAAGGAAUACCGAUGGCGAAGGCAGCCACCUGGGUCAAUACUGACGCUCAUGUACGAAAGCGUGGGGAGCAAACGGGAUUAGAUACCCCGGUAGUCCACGCCGUAAACGAUGUCUACUAGGAGCUGGAAUCUUCGGAUGACUUUUCCAAAGCUAACGCAUUAAGUAGACCGCCUGGGGAGUACGGCCGCAAGGUUAAAACUCAAAUGAAUUGACGGGGGCCCGCACAAGCGGUGGAGCAUGUGGUUUAAUUCGAUGCAACGCGAAGAACCUUACCUACACUUGACAUCCAGAGAAGAGACUAGAGAUAGACUUGUGCCUUCGGGAACUCUGAGACAGGUGCUGCAUGGGUUGUGUCA